AAAGUAUAUUGUCUCCCACGCAUAGGCACGGUCCCCCCAAAUCUUAAACUCUUUCUGGGAUCAGAUCCUACAUAGCUUCUCCAAUCCUGUCCUUCUGGGGUCAUCUUGACAGGUCGCCAACUGCAAUCACUAUCAUAAAAGGAGUCUGUUUCUUUCUAGGACCAGCAGGUCUCAGCUGCUUGGUUCACCAUGGGAACCUAAGAAUGCAUCCCCUGAAUGCAGAGUUGCCUUCCUCCCAGGCUGCUUCCAAGGAUACACAAAACCCAGCAAAGAUAAAUAGAAGACGUGGAACGUGAAUUAUAAUGUCAGGCCCGCUCACAACCUCUGCGCCCCGCUCCACAUAAUAGGCCCGAAUUCAUAACGCCGUUCAAAAAUGAGAUGGGGAAACAGAGGCCUGGAGCCGUGAGAAGAUGAGCAGCCUGCAGCAUGACCUCCCCUGGCCUCUGAGACCUGCCCGGCUGCGGACUCCUGACUACUCACACCCGUGUGUCAUUCACUGGGGCACGUGGUGUGUGUCCACCCAUCUGCUCUCCUUGGCUGGCAUCACGGGGGCCUGUGGGCCGUUUCCCGCCCUCAGCACAGUGUCGGCCACAUAGGAGGAGCCUAAGGAUGUGAGCUCUGGUGGCUAAACUGUGGCCGGGCUUGGCAGCUCCGAGCGGGCUCUGAACAGCACGGUGGCCCGAUGUGAGGCGAGUGGUGCUGAUGAGGGAGCUGAGGGAGCCCCAGAAGGAAAAAGCAAGCAGCCCAGAGGGAGCAGCGCCCGAAGACCACCCAACACAGGCCCCACUGCGACAGGGAUCAAGGGUCAGUCACCUUCCCAACCAACAGUUCAUCGGAGCAGACGCAUGACGGCCCCUCCCUCUCCUGUCCGGCCUUCCCAGGGGAGCCUGGGGGACAGAUCUUAGACACUCUGGCACCAACGGGAGCCCAGCCUCCCUUUUCAUGGUGACUUAUCCAGAGGCACCCUUGUUUUGUUUGUUUGUUUGUUUGGGAUAAAAGACACACAUUCCUGGGUUUUGUUUGUUUGCUUGUUUCUUAGGACAGAGGCACCCUUGAAUGCAGCUCUGGAAAGCAAGCCACCCCCCACUUUCCCCUGGGACCCGAGGGUCUUCCUUGGACUUCUCAGCUCCCCGCCUCUCUCCAGAACUGGGGUGAGGCAAGCCAGGGCAGAGACGGGGACCCACUUCUGAACAGGAGGAGGGAGAACCACACCCACAAGAGCCCCUCUCUGCCUGCCUUCUACUCAGCUGCUGUCCCAACACAGACGGGCCUCCCCAGGGCCCCGCACCAGGGCAUUCAUUUGUCCUGAAGACAUGGUGUCCUCAGCUGGGCAUUCCCUUCGGGAGCCCAAGAAGCUGCCAGUUGAGCCCAGGCACGGGGUCAGGGCUGAUACGGGGUCUCUGGGAACCACGGGAGACCUUGUGUACCCAACACCCACCAGUGGGGAACCGCAAAGGGCCCCGCUGCUGCCCUGAACGGACCGUCCCAAGGGUCUGAAAGUGACUAGAAACCGAGAAAGACCGUCCCUUCGCUCCAUCCAGACAGCCCCGUAGACACGAAAAAAUGCAACUGGAAAUCUGGCACCUGGCACCGACUGCGCCAUGGGAGCUCCUGGGCCUCAAACCAGAAGAGGAAUUCACCUUUGUCCGCAGGUGUUCAAAGGCGUCGUCUCACGGAAUCCUUAUCACACCUCCACGAGAUACCGAGGCAGCCGUACACACGUGUGUGGGUUAUUUGACGCUCUUCCCACCAAGGGGUGGGGAAGUGCGGGUGGGCUCAGGACCGCUUUGAACACCACAGGAGUGAUGCUGUGAGACUUUGAAGACCGAGUCAGAAAAAGGCCAGGCGGCUUCCUCCUGGCCCUCUUGGGGCAUCUAUUCUGAGAUGAGUCAAAAAGAAGGCAACGGCCAUGGCUGGGUAGAUGCCCCGGUUGACAGCACAGCUGAGCUCCCAGACAAUGGAGACAGUCCCCUGACAGCCCUGUGGGCGCGCCGUCCUGGACCUCCUUCAGAUGGCUGCAGGCCAGGUUGAUUUGGACGGUAACUCCCGACGAGAACCACUCAGCUGAGCCCCUUCCCAGAAUCGGGACCAAAAUAAAACAGAUUUGCGAGAGGUGAGGUAAUUUGUUGAUAAAUGACCAACACACCUGGGGUCACUGGCUGUACCAAAGCCAGACCCGCAGUGAGGUUCUUACUUCAAAGAAGGGGGGGUGGAGGAACUGGUCUAUCGUCACACACCCAGUAAGUGGAAGAGUGAAGACUUCAAACUUGGAGUUCCCAUCAGGGCUCAGUGCUUAACGAACCUGACCAGUAUCCAUGAGGACGCAAGUUCGAU
Sus scrofa (pig) is the source of this 2334-nucleotide non-coding RNA. The record is from RefSeq and is a predicted model, not a curated record. NCBI's taxonomy places the organism in Eukaryota, Metazoa, Chordata, Mammalia, Artiodactyla, Suidae.